AAUGAGAACACAGUUCAUGCACGGAGCUCACUUCUAACGAGCUGAUUAUCUGAAUCAGAUGUGUUAACAAAGAGAGACGUGCGAAAUAUGCAGAGCUGGGGGGCGCGAGGACUGGAAUUGAGAACUGCUGGGGUAGAGUAGCGCUUGUUGUUUGUCGUUUCUCCGAUCACAAAUACAGACAUGGUUUUAUGUUUACGCUGCGUGAUGCAAAGCGUAAAAAUACAGUAUAAGUCAUUAUAAUCCAUAAUUAUGUCCCCACUGGAUGCAACAAAUGGUUCGUUUGUAAUGGGUUUUAUUGUUUUUGUCUUGUCUCGCUAGUGUUCUGACUGGGACACGCAUCACAGUACGACAAGGGGCGUAACAUUUCCGUCACAUGCUUGAGGCAUUCGGCCAAUCACAAAGCACUGGAUAGCUGGCCAAUCAGAGCACACCUCACUUUUUAGACCGAUGAGGUUUGUAAAAAAAUGCAGUGUUUCAGAAAGGCGGGGCAUAGAGGAGAAACAAUAAUGUACAGUGGUUCCCACUGAAGUGCAGUGCAACGGCUGCCAUGCAAAGAUGCUGAAGGUCACAGAGAAGAUGAUCAAAGUGAUAAGAGAACAAACAGGACAGGGUGACAUCAACCCCACAGACACCGCAGGAACAUUCUGGCUGUUUUAAAUAAAAACGGCAGCACACUGACUGCUGAUCAGAGGCAGGGGAACAAUUCAGGCCUCAAGCGUGUGGAUACAUCAGAAGCAGCUGUAUCAGCACUAGGCCAGAUUUUCGAGCUCAUGCUAUCAUUAAUGCUGUGGUGGAUGAGUGGCGGAGAAGCUCUUUCCCUCGCUGUUCCAAAGAUCACUGCGGUGGGCAUACAGGGCGACCCUACUAAAGACCUCCUGUGCACAGAGCCCCUUAGCCACUGCCAGUUUCACAUCCCAUCAGCACUGAGCUCUCAACUAAAGGAGGAAAAACAAGAGGUCCUGCAGAUCCUUCUGCAAAUGGAGGAUGAAAAAAACCCAUUCAUUUCAGCUGCAGAGCCUCUCAUAUCAACCACUCUCGCAGCCAUGGAGUUUGCUACACCACAGGGGCAGAACAUUUCCAUUGCCAACCUGACGCUAGACACUGCGAUACAAUUUACUUUACACAAAAACUAAAAGAUUUUACUCUGGCACCCAAGGGAAGUGUAAAUUUCACAGUCAAAGCAAUGGACAAAGAUCCUCAGACUGGCCUCUAUGUUGCCUUAAACUUCAGUUUUAUUCCAGGUUAUAUACACCAGUCAUUUAAUUUAAUUAG
Long non-coding RNA from Cyprinus carpio carpio, 1272 nucleotides. Lineage: Eukaryota; Metazoa; Chordata; Actinopteri; Cypriniformes; Cyprinidae. The record is from Ensembl.